GAUGAACGCUGGCGGCGUGCCUAAUACAUGCAAGUCGAGCGAACAGACGAGGAGCUUGCUCCUCUGACGUUAGCGGCGGACGGGUGAGUAACACGUGGAUAACCUACCUAUAAGACUGGGAUAACUUCGGGAAACCGGAGCUAAUACCGGAUAAUAUAUUGAACCGCAUGGUUCAAUAGUGAAAGACGGUUUUGCUGUCACUUAUAGAUGGAUCCGCGCCGCAUUAGCUAGUUGGUAAGGUAACGGCUUACCAAGCAAACGAUGGGUAGCCGACCUGAGAGGGUGAUCGGCCACACUGGAACUGAGACACGGUCCAGACUCCUACGGGAGGCAGCAGUAGGGAAUCUUCCGCAAUGGGCGAAAGCCUGACGGAGCAACGCCGCGUGAGUGAUGAAGGUCUUCGGAUCGUAAAACUCUGUUAUUAGGGAAGAACAAAUGUGUAAGUAACUAUGCACGUCUUGACGGUACCUAAUCAGAAAGCCACGGCUAACUACGUG
This 497-nucleotide ribosomal RNA is filed under the name uncultured bacterium. RNAcentral's name for it is "partial 16S ribosomal RNA". It matches the Rfam family "Bacterial small subunit ribosomal RNA", at positions 28 to 507 of the family's 1533-position model. The record is from RNAcentral.